UAACAUAAGAUGCAUACAGAUAAACCUGCAGCACUCGAAGAGUGCUACAGCGAAUCUGACAACACUCGUGAACAAGGGGGCAUCGACAUCAGCCUAGUACAGGAGCCCUGGGUCAAUGAAGAUACCAUUAAAGAGCUAAACUGCAGAAACUAUAACCUGUUUUACACACGGAACAGAGCACAGCAGAUACGUAUCACAGAAGGAAAAGUCCUUCUUCUUGGUCUCGGCCUACUAGGCCCAUGGCGAAGACAUACCACCGGCCCCGCUCACCAGACCAGUAGAGGAGAACAGGAAGGAUGAUGUCCUAAUAGGGUGUGAUGCAAACGUAAGGCACAGCGUAUGGGGUAGCUCCAGAGGUUCAACUUUAUUGGUAUGCGUCUGCUUUGACGUCACAAAAAGCCUACUUCUACUCGUUUCGCAAAUUUAUAACAAAAAUAUGAAGAAAAUGAAGUUCGUACGCAAGUGUAUUGAAGUGCGUACAACCGACUGUACGGGACACCAGCCCAUUACGCCAUAAAAUUUAUAAUCAUAUUUAAGGCGAAAAUGUUAAAUAUGUCGAGCCAUACACAGAGAUUCAUUAUUUGCAAUUAGGAAAAUUAAGAUGUCAUUUUCGUUUGCGAAACAUUUUGUCAGUGCGGCAAAUUUAAUCGUAAAACUAAAUCAACUUGACAUAUUCAGGGAUGGACGCGAAUACUGAUGCUGAACGAGUGUGGCAGGCGAGUGCUGACUCGCACGGUGGUCAAAAGUUUAUUUUCAGCAGUCAGAUUAAAAAGUCAUUUUGCUAAUAGCGAUGUAUUGGCUCAAAAGCGAAAUUAAUUGAAAUCAGAAACAGAGAAAUGUAAGUAUGUUGUUGAUUGUCGACAAAUUUUCAUAUUUUUCUUUUGGUGGAUACUUUGAUUUUGUUGCCAAUUAUCAAUAAAUGGUAAUUAAAAGUGUAAGCAUAUUUUUAUAUUUGCUCUUGAGCAACAUUGAACAAAGUAUUAAUACCAUUUAAUAAUGUGAAAUUUAUAAAUUAAAUGUUAAACGGUAAAUUAGCAAACACAUUUA
Long non-coding RNA from Bactrocera dorsalis (oriental fruit fly), 1047 nucleotides. RefSeq lists it as uncharacterized. Lineage: Eukaryota; Metazoa; Arthropoda; Insecta; Diptera; Tephritidae. The transcript has 4 exons. The record is from RefSeq and is a predicted model, not a curated record.